RNAcentral lists this ribosomal RNA (478 nucleotides) under uncultured anaerobic ammonium-oxidizing bacterium. RNAcentral's name for it is "bacterial SSU rRNA". It matches the Rfam family "Bacterial small subunit ribosomal RNA", at positions 364 to 832 of the family's 1533-position model. The record is from RNAcentral.
UUUCGCAAUGCCCGAAAGGGUGACGAAGCGACGCCGCGUGGGUGGGGAAGGCCUUCGGGUUGUAAAGCCCUGUCAGGAGUUAAGAAAUGUAAGUGCGCUAAUACCGCAUUUAUUUGACGAAGGCUCCAAAGGAAGUCACGGCUAACUCUGUGCCAGCAGCCGCGGUAAUACAGAGGUGGCAAGCGUUGUUCGGAAUUAUUGGGCGUAAAGAGCACGUAGGUGGGUUUGUAAGUCAGAUGUGAAAGCCUCCUGUUCAACGGGAGAAUUGCAUCUGAAACUACAGAUCUUGAGUGUAGGAGGGGAGAAUGGAACUUCUGGUGGAGCGGUGAAAUGCGUAGAUAUCAGAAGGAACGCCGGCGGCGAGAGCGAUUCUCUGGCCUAUUACUGACACUCAGUGUGCGAAAGCUAGGGUAGCAAACGGGAUUAGAUACCCCGGUAGUCCUAGCCGUAAACGAUGGGCACUAAGUAGAGGGGUUUU